CACUACCUAUUGCUCCUACUAAUCGAAUGAUUUGGUGAAAUGUUCAUAUUGUGGUGACAUGGGUGAUUCAUUGCCCGCAACGUCGUGAGAAGUUCAUUGAACCUUAUCAUCAAGAGAAAUGAGAAUUCGUAACAAGGUUUACGUAGGUGAACCUGCAGAAG
Molecule: non-coding RNA, 161 nt
Filed under: Solanum tuberosum (potato)
Lineage: Eukaryota; Viridiplantae; Streptophyta; Magnoliopsida; Solanales; Solanaceae
Description: rRNA SSU_rRNA_eukarya
Rfam family: Eukaryotic small subunit ribosomal RNA
Source: Rfam by way of RNAcentral